UGAGUAUUGAAAGAAAAAAAUAAUGUUGAGAGCUAGAAGAAGACACUCUAGUUUUUGCUUGGACCAUCCUGUUAAUAUCAUUUACUAUCUAUAUUUCUAAUUCAGCAAAGUGCUUCAUCUUUACCAAUAUCACCAAAAUUACCACAAAAAAACAAGAGCAGGGCAGACACUUUAAUGCUCAAACACAAACAUAUUAUUUAUACUUUACCCUGAUCUCCUGUAGAUGCUGUAGGCAACAGCGACAGUGGCCACAGCUCCAAUUACUGCUACAGCAGCAAGAAUUUCACUUUGUUCCCAUUUUCCUGUCCAGCACGAAAAUUUACUUGCCUUCUUCGGGACUUGGUCUUCUGAAGUUUCUUUUGACUUUUCUUCAAUUCUGCUACUUUUCCCUGAAGUUUCAUCUCUGCAACAACUGAAUCCAUUACUGCCCUGGCAACAACCUGUAAAUGUUUCCACUUUGCUUUGAUCGCCGUUUUCUUGAAUUUCAACCUUGCUUUUCUUUAUAUCUUCUCCAUUUGGAAGCUUUUGUUCACCUACCUUUCGAACUUCCUCCGGAUUUGAGCCCAUUUGUCCUCUCAAAAGCCUUUCCACGACCUCGCCCUUUGCAAUGUGCUGUUCAAACAAUUCAGAUACAUCUUCAGGAGUUACAUAUCCGUACCAAUGACCGGUAGUUUUCCCACCCACACCAGGUUGGUAUAUGAUCAAGUUUCCGGCAUACUUGUGUCCUCCAACGUGUGAACAUGGACUAACAUAAACCUGAUCCUUCAAUCCUCGUAAUCCGAUCUCCUCAUCGAACUUUUGGACAAGAAUGGGUCCACAAACACCACAUCUCCGAUCUCGACUACCAUGAACACACACAAACACAUGAGAGCCAGUGAAAACCUCUGGCACCCCAGACGCCCAGGGUUUAUCAUUCACAAGCACAUCAUCGACAAAGCCAUCCACAUCUGAAUCUUUCAAACCCCUGUAUUUGAUCAUUUCGGGGAAAAUCAACACAUCUCCAUCCGAAAAUCCAGUUUCUUCCCGUCCCGAGAAUAUUGUCAGCUUCGUCUUCAGAGAGAUAUCAUCCUUGCGAGCUUUGAGAGCGGCAGAGAGGAGCCUAGGGAGAACGUCAGAAUCAGAAGCUUCGAGAUGCGAGGGCCAGGCCUCCGGAGUUUUGUAGCAGAGAAAUACAUGGCGAUCAUAGGCGCUGACGGUGCCGGCGAGGUUGCUCUGAUACAUCUCCUCACGACGGAAUCCAUAGUUCUCGUCGUCGGCGCCGGAAAUGGUGGAUAGGUUAUCGGAGGCCAUAGGAAGAUGGAGAAACGAGGUCAGAGAUGGUAACGGAGAGAGAGGGGAAUUGGAAAGGA
Molecule: unclassified non-coding RNA, 1349 nt
Filed under: Hevea brasiliensis (rubber tree)
Lineage: Eukaryota; Viridiplantae; Streptophyta; Magnoliopsida; Malpighiales; Euphorbiaceae
Source: RNAcentral